RNAcentral lists this transfer RNA (67 nucleotides) under Marmota monax (woodchuck). RNAcentral's name for it is "tRNA.Val". It matches the Rfam family "tRNA". Rfam says of the family: Transfer RNA (tRNA) molecules are approximately 80 nucleotides in length. The record is from RNAcentral. Lineage: Eukaryota; Metazoa; Chordata; Mammalia; Rodentia; Sciuridae.
GGUUGUAGCUCAGUGGUAGAGCACUUGAUGCACAAACAUGAGGCACUGGGUUCAAUCCUCAGCACCA